Long non-coding RNA from Pistacia vera, 2085 nucleotides. RefSeq lists it as uncharacterized. The transcript is spliced from 4 exons. Lineage: Eukaryota; Viridiplantae; Streptophyta; Magnoliopsida; Sapindales; Anacardiaceae. The record is from RefSeq and is a predicted model, not a curated record.
UUGAGUUGGGUUCUUCAAUACUAUCUCUUCUUUAAGGAAUCUUUCAUCAACUGUAAAGUGUCUUAAUGACUUCUUCUUCUUCCAAAACUUCUCAAACAAAACAUCAUGUUUUCCUUAGUUUUAGAGGUAAGAAUACACGCCAAAAUUUUUUAAGCCAUCUUUAUGCAACUUUGUGUUCAAAGAAAAUUGAAGCAUUUAUUGAUAAUGAUCUUCACCGAGGAGAUGAAAUUUCAGAAGCUCUUUUGACUGUGAUCGAAGAAUCAAAGAUUUCAGUUAUCAUCAUCUCAAAAGGAUGUAAGGAAUCAAAUCGGAACGUUUGGGGAAGCGUUUAUGAAGCAUGAAGAACGAUUUUAGCAGGACUCGGAGAAGGUUUUGAGAUGGAAGAGUGCUUUGACAGAAGCGGCUAAUCUCUCUGGCUUUGAUUCAAAAAAUACCAGGGAAUUGAAGCAAUUGAAUGCAUUCCCUUGGAUAUUUCUAAAAUAAAAGAGAUAAAUUUGAAGUACGAUGCUUUCUUGAAGAUUCAAAACCUCAUAUUCUUGGACUUUUAUUACCCAGCCGAGGAAGACCAUGGAGACUUCUGGUACUUUUAUUGCAGAUGUUGCUUAGAUAAAUAUGAGUGGCGUGGCGGUUUUAGCUGUCAAUAUUGCUCGCUGGACGAAGAGAAUGAGAAUAAGGUUCAUGCUUUGCAGGGCCUAGAAUUUAGUUCAUCUGACAUAAGGUAUUUUCACUAGUUUGGAUAUCCUUUGGUUCCAUUGCCGUCAAAUUUUGAGUUACAAAAUCUCGUUGCGCUUAUCAUGCCUGGUAGCCAAAUUAAACAACUCUGGAAUGGUCUCCAGGUACAAAUAUUUAUCUUGAUAUUCUCUUUUUGUAGAAAAUGAUGAAGCUAAUCAUAUAAUUUAUGUUACUUCCUCAUCUCAAUUUAUUGUUUGUAGCAUUUAGAGAAGUUAAAGCAUAUUAACCUUAUCCGCUCCAAGCACCUAAUUAGAAUUCUAUAUCUCUCAAUGAUCCCAAACCUUAAGAGUUUGAUUCUAGAAGGUUGUAUAAGUUUGAUUGAGGUUCAUUCGACAAUUCAAUAUCUAAAAAAGUUGAAUAUGUUGAAUCUUAAAGGUUGCAAAAGCCUUAGAAUUCUUCCUUUGGACAUUCAAUCAAAAUUUCUUUCAUAUCUUAUUCUCUUUGGUUGCUCAAGUCUCGAGACUGCUCCAACAAUCACAUGUAACAUGACUGAAGUAUUUUUAGAUGGAACAUCUAUAACAAAAUUGUCUUGGAUCGAAUGCCCAUCAAUACUAGAGUUCUUGGAUCUUGAAAACUGUUCAAGGCUUGAAAGUCUCCCAAGCGACAUUUGUGAGUUUGAAGACUCUUUGGUACCUUAAUCUCAAGCGUCGCUCAAACAUCUAGAGAUUCCCCAACAACUUAGUACAAUUAGAAGGUUUGAAUGCACUCCUAGCUAAUUAUAUUGGCACAAGAGAAAUAUCAUAUUCCAUAUUAUCUUUGAACAAUCUUAUGGCGUUACAAUUAAACAGAUAUAGUUGUCAACAUCUGAUGGAUUUAGGAUGGCUUUUUCUAUCAUUUUUGAGUCGUAUACAGUAUUUAAAUUUAUGUUAUUGUGAAAUCACGAGGUUACCCGACGGUCUUGGCCAUAUCUUCACUAUAUUAUUUAAAUCUAGGUGGAAACAAUUUUGAAUGGAUACCAUCAGGCAUCCAAGAACUUUCCAAUUUGUUGACUCUGGACAUAAGCUAUUGUGACAGGCUUAAAUCCUUACCAAAGCUUCCAUCAAAGGUUCGAUUUCUUCAAGCAUACAAUUGUACAUUAUUGGAGUUAUGUUCUGAACUCAACAUUAGUGUCAGUGACGAAACUCAACUUGGGGAAUUGUUCCAAACUGAAAAAUGCUCAGAAUAUACUCGAGGCCAUGGAGGAAAAGAAAUUUGUCUGUGAAGAAAUUUUCUUUUUACCUGGACAUGAAAUUCCAGAGUGGUUGAGCUUCCAAAAUGUGGGAUCUUUUAUAUCUCUUGAGCUAUCACUUGCUUAUCAAGAAAAUGAUCUCCCCCUAGGCUUUAUUGUGUGUCUUGUUGUAACAUUUCCAGAUG